This 64-nucleotide transfer RNA is filed under the name Nembrotha kubaryana. RNAcentral's name for it is "tRNA-His". Lineage: Eukaryota; Metazoa; Mollusca; Gastropoda; Nudibranchia; Polyceridae. The record is from RNAcentral.
UAAAGGUUAGUUUAAUAAAAAAUUUUGACCUGUGGAGUCAUAGAUAAUCUGAGAUUACCUUUAU